CGGCGGACGGGUGAGUAACGCGUGGGUAACCUGCCUUAUACAGGGGGAUAACAGUUAGAAAUGACUGCUAAUACCGCAUAAGCGCACAGUACCGCAUGGUACAGUGUGAAAAACUCCGGUGGUAUAAGAUGGACCCGCGUCUGAUUAGCCAGUUGGCGGGGUAACGGCCCACCAAAGCGACGAUCAGUAGCCGACCUGAGAGGGUGACCGGCCACAUUGGGACUGAGACACGGCCCAAACUCCUACGGAAGGCAGCAG
Molecule: ribosomal RNA, 258 nt
Filed under: uncultured bacterium
Lineage: Bacteria
Description: partial 16S ribosomal RNA
Rfam family: Bacterial small subunit ribosomal RNA
Source: RNAcentral